GCCCCCGUAGCUCAGCUGGAUAGAGCAACGGACUUCUAAUCCGUAGGUCGCAGGUUCGACUCCUGCCGGGGGCG
RNAcentral lists this transfer RNA (74 nucleotides) under Acidimicrobiaceae bacterium TMED77. RNAcentral's name for it is "tRNA-Arg". It matches the Rfam family "tRNA". Rfam says of the family: Transfer RNA (tRNA) molecules are approximately 80 nucleotides in length. The record is from RNAcentral. Lineage: Bacteria; Bacillati; Actinomycetota; Acidimicrobiia; Acidimicrobiales; Acidimicrobiaceae. RNAcentral also lists the same sequence under 4 other names.